GCAGUGGGGAAUAUUGGACAAUGGGGGCAAGCCUGAUCCAGCCAUGCCGCGUGUGUGAAGAAGGCCUUCGGGUUGUAAAGCACUUUCUCUCGGAAGGAAAAGCUUAGGGUAAUA
This 114-nucleotide ribosomal RNA is filed under the name uncultured bacterium. RNAcentral's name for it is "partial 16S ribosomal RNA". It matches the Rfam family "Bacterial small subunit ribosomal RNA", at positions 351 to 464 of the family's 1533-position model. The record is from RNAcentral.